GGUUAAGCGACUAAGCGUACACGGUGGAUGCCCUGGCAGUCAGAGGCGAUGAAGGACGUGCUAAUCUGCGAUAAGCGUCGGUAAGGUGAUAUGAACCGUUAUAACCGGCGAUUUCCGAAUGGGGAAACCCAGUGUGUUUCGACACACUAUCAUUAACUGAAUCCAUAGGUUAAUGAGGCGAACCGGGGGAACUGAAACAUCUAAGUACCCCGAGGAAAAGAAAUCAACCGAGAUUCCCCCAGUAGCGGCGAGCGAACGGGGAGCAGCCCAGAGCCUGAAUCAGUGUGUGUGUUAGUGGAAGCGUCUGGAAAGGCGCGCGAUACAGGGUGACAGCCCCGUACACAAAAAUGCACAUGCUGUGAGCUCGAUGAGUAGGGCGGGACACGUGGUAUCCUGUCUGAAUAUGGGGGGACCAUCCUCCAAGGCUAAAUACUCCUGACUGACCGAUAGUGAACCAGUACCGUGAGGGAAAGGCGAAAAGAACCCCGGCGAGGGGAGUGAAAAAGAACCUGAAACCGUGUACGUACAAGCAGUGGGAGCACGCUUCGGCGUGUGACUGCGUACCUUUUGUAUAAUGGGUCAGCGACUUAUAUUCUGUAGCAAGGUUAACCGAAUAGGGGAGCCGAAGGGAAACCGAGUCUUAACUGGGCGUUAAGUUGCAGGGUAUAGACCCGAAACCCGGUGAUCUAGCCAUGGGCAGGUUGAAGGUUGGGUAACACUAACUGGAGGACCGAACCGACUAAUGUUGAAAAAUUAGCGGAUGACUUGUGGCUGGGGGUGAAAGGCCAAUCAAACCGGGAGAUAGCUGGUUCUCCCCGAAAGCUAUUUAGGUAGCGCCUCGUGAAUUCAUCUCCGGGGGUAGAGCACUGUUUCGGCAAGGGGGUCAUCCCGACUUACCAACCCGAUGCAAACUGCGAAUACCGGAGAAUGUUAUCACGGGAGACACACGGCGGGUGCUAACGUCCGUCGUGAAGAGGGAAACAACCCAGACCGCCAGCUAAGGUCCCAAAGUCAUGGUUAAGUGGGAAACGAUGUGGGAAGGCCCAGACAGCCAGGAUGUUGGCUUAGAAGCAGCCAUCAUUUAAAGAAAGCGUAAUAGCUCACUGGUCGAGUCGGCCUGCGCGGAAGAUGUAACGGGGCUAAACCAUGCACCGAAGCUGCGGCAGCGACGCUGAUGCGUUGUUGGGUAGGGGAGCGUUCUGUAAGCCUGCGAAGGUGUGCUGUGAGGCAUGCUGGAGGUAUCAGAAGUGCGAAUGCUGACAUAAGUAACGAUAAAGCGGGUGAAAAGCCCGCUCGCCGGAAGACCAAGGGUUCCUGUCCAACGUUAAUCGGGGCAGGGUGAGUCGACCCCUAAGGCGAGGCCGAAAGGCGUAGUCGAUGGGAAACAGGUUAAUAUUCCUGUACUUGGUGUUACUGCGAAGGGGGGACGGAGAAGGCUAUGUUGGCCGGGCGACGGUUGUCCCGGUUUAAGCGUGUAGGCUGGUUUUCCAGGCAAAUCCGGAAAAUCAAGGCUGAGGCGUGAUGACGAGGCACUACGGUGCUGAAGCAACAAAUGCCCUGCUUCCAGGAAAAGCCUCUAAGCAUCAGGUAACAUCAAAUCGUACCCCAAACCGACACAGGUGGUCAGGUAGAGAAUACCAAGGCGCUUGAGAGAACUCGGGUGAAGGAACUAGGCAAAAUGGUGCCGUAACUUCGGGAGAAGGCACGCUGAUAUGUAGGUGAGGUCCCUCGCGGAUGGAGCUGAAAUCAGUCGAAGAUACCAGCUGGCUGCAACUGUUUAUUAAAAACACAGCACUGUGCAAACACGAAAGUGGACGUAUACGGUGUGACGCCUGCCCGGUGCCGGAAGGUUAAUUGAUGGGGUCAGCGCAAGCGAAGCUCUUGAUCGAAGCCCCGGUAAACGGCGGCCGUAACUAUAACGGUCCUAAGGUAGCGAAAUUCCUUGUCGGGUAAGUUCCGACCUGCACGAAUGGCGUAAUGAUGGCCAGGCUGUCUCCACCCGAGACUCAGUGAAAUUGAACUCGCUGUGAAGAUGCAGUGUACCCGCGGCAAGACGGAAAGACCCCGUGAACCUUUACUAUAGCUUGACACUGAACAUUGAGCCUUGAUGUGUAGGAUAGGUGGGAGGCUUUGAAGUGUGGACGCCAGUCUGCAUGGAGCCGACCUUGAAAUACCACCCUUUAAUGUUUGAUGUUCUAACGUUGACCCGUAAUCCGGGUUGCGGACAGUGUCUGGUGGGUAGUUUGACUGGGGCGGUCUCCUCCUAAAGAGUAACGGAGGAGCACGAAGGUUGGCUAAUCCUGGUCGGACAUCAGGAGGUUAGUGCAAUGGCAUAAGCCAGCUUGACUGCGAGCGUGACGGCGCGAGCAGGUGCGAAAGCAGGUCAUAGUGAUCCGGUGGUUCUGAAUGGAAGGGCCAUCGCUCAACGGAUAAAAGGUACUCCGGGGAUAACAGGCUGAUACCGCCCAAGAGUUCAUAUCGACGGCGGUGUUUGGCACCUCGAUGUCGGCUCAUCACAUCCUGGGGCUGAAGUAGGUCCCAAGGGUAUGGCUGUUCGCCAUUUAAAGUGGUACGCGAGCUGGGUUUAGAACGUCGUGAGACAGUUCGGUCCCUAUCUGCCGUGGGCGCUGGAGAACUGAGGGGGGCUGCUCCUAGUACGAGAGGACCGGAGUGGACGCAUCACUGGUGUUCGGGUUGUCAUGCCAAUGGCACUGCCCGGUAGCUAAAUGCGGAAGAGAUAAGUGCUGAAAGCAUCUAAGCACGAAACUUGCCCCGAGAUGAGUUCUCCCUGACCCUUUAAGGGUCCUGAAGGAACGUUGAAGACGACGACGUUGAUAGGCCGGGUGUGUAAGCGCAGCGAUGCGUUGAGCUAACCGGUACUAAUGAACCGUGAGGCUUAACCUU
This 2904-nucleotide ribosomal RNA is filed under the name Escherichia coli. RNAcentral's name for it is "23S ribosomal RNA". It matches the Rfam family "Bacterial large subunit ribosomal RNA". Lineage: Bacteria; Pseudomonadati; Pseudomonadota; Gammaproteobacteria; Enterobacterales; Enterobacteriaceae. The record is from RNAcentral.